Molecule: ribosomal RNA, 374 nt
Filed under: uncultured bacterium
Lineage: Bacteria
Description: partial 16S ribosomal RNA
Rfam family: Bacterial small subunit ribosomal RNA
Source: RNAcentral
CCUACGGGUGGCAGCAGUGGGGAAUAUUGCACAAUGGGGGAAACCCUGAUGCAGCGACGCCGCGUGAAGGAAGAAGUAUUUAGGUAUGUAAACUUCUAUCAGCAGGGAAGAAAAUGACGGUACCUGACUAAGAAGCCACGGCUAACUCCGUGCCAGCAGCCGCGGUACUACGGAGGGGGCAACGGUUAUCCGGAUUUACUGGGUGUAAAGGGGGCGUAGGCGGUUUAGCAAGUCAGAAGUGAAAGCCCGGGGCUCAACCACGGAACUGCUGUUGAAACUGUUGAACUUGAUUGCAGGAGAGGUAAGUGGAAUGCCUAGUGUAGCGGUGAAAUGCUUAGAUAUUAGGAAGAACCCCAGUGGCGAAGGCGGCUUAC